AGUGGGUGAAAGCUCUUAACUUUCAGAUUAAGGAAUUAAACUUUUUGAAUAAUCAAAGGGAAUCUAUGCGCAGUUGUAGGAAGGGGGCGACGUGGGGGAAAAGUUAGUUUUACAAAGUGAAGCUAACUCAGUUUAAUAAAUAGUUUUAGAAGUUUUUAGUGGUUAACAAAAGACUGCAUCCCUCUGAUGCAAGAACUGCCCAUGUUUCAUCUUGUCCGAGGUUGACCAUCCGCCUGUGCUCUCAAUGUGACUCUUCUAGCCCCUCAGAGACCACACCAGCGAGCAACAUCGCCACCUGCUGGGAGUUAGAGAAAUUACAGAAUUGGAUUAUCUUUAUUCAAAUAUUCUUGGAUUUCAGGGUUUAAAGAUGGCUGGUUAUACCUUCGCUAGUCACUAUCUGUGAGCUGAUCAAAGCUGCAAGUGCCAGUUACUGAAAUGUUGGGCCUAUUAAUGUGUUGGAAGAAGAAGCAGGAGAGCCUAUGUGACUGAGCUAAAAAUUUAACCCGUCAUAAGAAAUGGAUGAGAGUUUGUUUAACAUUCUAUCUCCAAUAUUGAUAUAUGCCUGGGACCCAAGAAUGGCCAAAAGUUUCCAGAAGUAAUGCUGACUGCACUUUAGAAUUUAAAAGUACCACUGCAGAGGCCUAAUCUCAGAGCAGUUAAAUGAGAAUCUCUAGGAUGGAGCCCAGACAAUAACAUUCUUUAAAAGUUCCUCAGGUGAUGUGCAUCCAGGGCUGAGAACUAGUACUAGUAGGCAGACUGCAAUGGAAUAGGAGCAAACUUACAUUCUUAACUCAUUUUCACGACAUUCAUUUAUAACGGACAGAUUUGCAAACUGUACUUGCAUAAUUAAUGUCCCAAUUUAAAAUUCUGACCAAUAAUUAUAGUUUCUGAUGUAGCAGUUUACCAAAUAGUAUCUAGCAGGUUGUUUUUUUAAUUUAAAUUUUAUUUUAGAUUCGCGGGGGUGGGGGACACAUGCAUGUUUGUUAUAUGGGUAAAUUGUGCACUGGUGGGGAUCUGGGCUUCUAGUGUGCCCAUUAUCCAAAUAGUAAACAUUGUACCAAAUGGUCAACUUUUCGAUCUCACUCUCUCCCACUCACCACACUUUUGAUGUCCUCGGUGUCUACUACUUCCAUCUUUAUGUCCAUGUGUACCC
This 1153-nucleotide long non-coding RNA is filed under the name Pan troglodytes (chimpanzee). RNAcentral's name for it is "long non-coding RNA NONPTRT013123". The record is from RNAcentral. Lineage: Eukaryota; Metazoa; Chordata; Mammalia; Primates; Hominidae.